RNAcentral lists this ribosomal RNA (253 nucleotides) under uncultured Acidisoma sp. RNAcentral describes it as "partial 16S ribosomal RNA". It matches the Rfam family "Bacterial small subunit ribosomal RNA", at positions 524 to 776 of the family's 1533-position model. Lineage: Bacteria; Pseudomonadati; Pseudomonadota; Alphaproteobacteria; Acetobacterales; Acidocellaceae. The record is from RNAcentral.
UACGAAGGGGGCUAGCGUUGCUCGGAAUGACUGGGCGUAAAGGGCGCGUAGGCGGCUUUGGCAGUCAGGCGUGAAAUUCCCGGGCUCAACCUGGGGACUGCGCUUGCGACGCCAGAGCUGGAGUGCGGAAGAGGGUCGUGGAAUUCCCAGUGUAGAGGUGAAAUUCGUAGAUAUUGGGAAGAACACCGGUGGCGAAGGCGGCGACCUGGUCCGUGACUGACGCUGAGGCGCGAAAGCGUGGGGAGCAAACAGG